CCUACGGGAGGCAGCAGUGAGGAAUAUUGGUCAAUGGACGAGAGUCUGAACCAGCCAAGUAGCGUGAAGGAUGACUGCCCUAUGGGUUGUAAACUUCUUUUAUAUGGGAAUAAAAUGUUCCACGUGUGGGAUUUUGUAUGUACCAUAUGAAUAAGGAUCGGCUAACUCCGUGCCAGCAGCCGCGGUAAUACGGAGGAUCCGAGCGUUAUCCGGAUUUAUUGGGUUUAAAGGGAGCGUAGGUGGAUUGUUAAGUCAGUUGUGAAAGUUGGCGGCUCAACCGUAAAAUUGCAGUUGAAACUGGCAGUCUUGAGUACAGUAGAGGUGGGCGGAAUUCGUGGUGUAGCGGUGAAAUGCUUGGAUAUCACGAAGAACUCCGAUUGCGAAGGCAGUUCACUGGACUGCAACUGACACUGAGGCUCGAAAGUGUGGGUAUCAAACAGGAUUAGAUACCCGAGUAGUC
Molecule: ribosomal RNA, 460 nt
Filed under: uncultured bacterium
Lineage: Bacteria
Description: partial 16S ribosomal RNA
Rfam family: Bacterial small subunit ribosomal RNA
Source: RNAcentral